Long non-coding RNA from Acanthochromis polyacanthus (spiny chromis), 1167 nucleotides. RefSeq lists it as uncharacterized. Lineage: Eukaryota; Metazoa; Chordata; Actinopteri; Pomacentridae. The record is from RefSeq and is a predicted model, not a curated record. The transcript is spliced from 3 exons.
UCAGGGAGGAAGUUAGAGGACGGAGGAGGAGGUGAUGGAGGGGUCAGGGAGGAAGUUAGAGGACGGAGGGGGAGGUGAUGGAGGGGUCAGGGAGGAAGUUAGAGGACGGAGGAGGAGGUGAUGGAGGGGUCAGGGAGGAAGUUAGAGGACGGAGGAGGAGGUGAUGGAGGGGUCAGGGAGGAAGUUAGAGGACGGAGGGGGAGGUGAUGGAGGGGUCAGGGAGGAAGUUAGAGGACGGAGGGGGAGGUGAUGGAGGGGUCAGGGAGGAAGUUAGAGGACGGAGGAGGAGGUGAUGGAGGGGUCAGGGAGGAAGUUAGAGGACGGAGGGGGAGGUGAUGGAGGGGUCAGGGAGGAAGUUAGAGGACGGAGGGGGAGGUGAUGGAGGGGUCAGGGAGGAAGUUAGAGGACGGAGGGGGAGGUGAUGGAGGGGUCAGGGAGGAAGUUAGAGGACGGAGGAGGAGGUGAUGGAGGGGUCAGGGAGGAAGUUAGAGGACGGAGGAGGAGGUGAUGGAGGGGUCAGGGAGGAAGUUAGAGGACGGAGGGGGAGGUGAUGGAGGGGUCAGGGAGGAAGUUAGAGGACGGAGGAGGAGGUGAUGGAGGGGUCAGGGAGGAAGUUAGAGGACGGAGGAGGAGGUGAUGGAGGGGUCAGGGAGGAAGUUAGAGGACGGAGGGGGAGGUGAUGGAGGGGUCAGGGAGGAAGUUAGAGGACGGAGGGGGAGGUGAUGGAGGGGUCAGGGAGGAAGUUAGAGGACGGAGGGGGAGGUGAUGGAGGGGUCAGGGAGGAAGUUAGAGGACGGAGGAGGAGGUGAUGGAGGGGUCAGGGAGGAAGUUAGAGGACGGAGGAGGAGGUGAUGGAGGGGUCAGGGAGGAAGUUAGAGGACGGAGGGGGAGGUGAUGGAGGGGUCAGGGAGGAAGUUAGAGGACGGAGGAGGAGGUGAUGGAGGGGUCAGGGAGGAAGUUAGAGGACGGAGGAGGAGGUGAUGGAGAGGAAGGACUGAUGGAUGGAGGUUUGACUGAAUCUAACGGACAUGAACCAGAUAAAGAGGAAAUCGCUAAAUGUCAGAUUUCUGUUCACAUAAAGCUAUAAACUAUUAAUUGUGAUCAAUAACUUUACUGAUUUUGAUCCAGAACUGAGAUCCACCAACACUGUUCAACACUUAGAACCAG